GACGAACGCUGGCGGCGUGCCUAAUACAUGCAAGUUGAGCGCUGAAGGUUGGUACUUGUACCGACUGGAUGAGCAGCGAACGGGUGAGUAACGCGUGGGGAAUCUGCCUUUGAGCGGGGGACAACAUUUGGAAACGAAUGCUAAUACCGCAUAAAAACUUUAAACACAAGUUUUAAGUUUGAAAGAUGCAAUUGCAUCACUCAAAGAUGAUCCCGCGUUGUAUUAGCUAGUUGGUGAGGUAAAGGCUCACGAAGGCGAUGAUACAUAGCCGACCGGAGAGGGUGGUCGGCCACAUUGGGACUGAGACACGGCACAAACGCCUACGGGAGGCAGCAGUAGGGAAUCUUCGGCAAGGGGCGAAAGUCUGAGCGAGAAACGCCGAGUGAGUGAAGAAGGUUGUCGGAUCGUAAAACUCUGUUGGUAGAGAAGAAAGUUGGUGAGAGUGGAAAGCUCAUCAAGUGACGGUAACUACACAGAAAGGGACGGCUAACUACGUG
RNAcentral lists this ribosomal RNA (497 nucleotides) under uncultured bacterium. RNAcentral's name for it is "partial 16S ribosomal RNA". It matches the Rfam family "Bacterial small subunit ribosomal RNA", at positions 28 to 507 of the family's 1533-position model. The record is from RNAcentral.